AUUCCAGCUCCAAUAGCGUAUAUUUAAGUUGUUGCAGUUAAAAAGCUCGUAGUUGGAUUUCGGGUGGGUACCGCCGGUCUCCCUUCGGGUAUGUACUGGCGUGGCCCGCCUUGCUGUCGGGGACGGUCUCCUGGGCUUUAUUGUCCGGGAAUCGGAGUCGACGAUGUUACUUUGAGUAAAUUAGAGUGUUCAAAGCAAGCCUACGCUCUGAAUAUAAUAGCAUGGGAUAACACGACAGGACUCUGGCCUAUCGUGUUGGUCUGUAGGACCGGAGUAAUGAUUAAGAGGGACAGUCGGGGGCAUUCGUAUUCCAUUGUCAGAGGUGAAAUUCUUGGAUUUAUGGAAGACGAACAUCUGCGAAAGCAUUUGUCAAGGAUGUUUUCAUCA
This 387-nucleotide ribosomal RNA is filed under the name Acrosiphonia sp. RNAcentral describes it as "partial small subunit ribosomal RNA". It matches the Rfam family "Eukaryotic small subunit ribosomal RNA", at positions 582 to 975 of the family's 1831-position model. Lineage: Eukaryota; Viridiplantae; Chlorophyta; Ulvophyceae; Ulotrichales; Ulotrichaceae. The record is from RNAcentral.